Molecule: non-coding RNA, 91 nt
Organism: Populus trichocarpa (black cottonwood)
Lineage: Eukaryota; Viridiplantae; Streptophyta; Magnoliopsida; Malpighiales; Salicaceae
Source: Rfam
AUUUUUAAGGUUAAACGUCAAUAUUUUAGACAAGUUUUUUAUUUUUAGGGACUGAUGUCAUUUUUUGACUUGUCUUCUAUUUUUAGGGACU